Molecule: ribosomal RNA, 447 nt
Filed under: uncultured bacterium
Lineage: Bacteria
Description: bacterial SSU rRNA
Rfam family: Bacterial small subunit ribosomal RNA
Source: RNAcentral
CAUGCAAGUCGUACGGGAUAAGUUGUAGCAAUACGACUUUGAGAGUGGCGUACGGGUGCGUAACACGUAUGCAACCUACCUUUAACUGGGGGAUAGCCCGGAGAAAUUCGGAUUAAUACCCCAUAACAUAAUAACAGGGCAUCUUGUUAUUAUCAAAACUCCGGUGGUUAAAGAUGGGCAUGCGGCUGAUUAGCUAGUUGGUGAGGUAAUGGCUCACCAAGGCUACGAUCAGUAGGGGGUCUGAGAGGAUGUCCCCCCACACUGGUACUGAGACACGGACCAGACUCCUACGGGAGGCAGCAGUAGGGAAUAUUGGGCAAUGGACGGAAGUCUGACCCAGCCAUGCCGCGUGCAGGAUGACUGCCCUAUGGGUUGUAAACUGCUUUUAUACGGGAAUAAACCUCUCUACGUGUAGGGAGUUGAAUGUACUGUAAGAUAAGGACGGCU